This 512-nucleotide unclassified non-coding RNA is filed under the name Hevea brasiliensis (rubber tree). Lineage: Eukaryota; Viridiplantae; Streptophyta; Magnoliopsida; Malpighiales; Euphorbiaceae. The record is from RNAcentral.
AAAGCUUCUUGGUUGUUGCAUUCAAGGAGAAGAGAAAAUGCUGGUUUAUGAGUACAUGUGCAAUAAAAGCCUCGACUCCUUCAUUUUCGGUUUGUAUCACUCAUAACCUAAUAAAUAUGGUUAGCCUACAGUAACUUGAUAGCAAAUGUCAUACAUUCUUAAUGCAAUCAAAUUUGACAUUUAGCACAUUCCAGUAGCAUUUGGACUCAUAUGAAUACAUGACUUGCCAGAUCAAACAAGAAGUAAACUUCUGGACUGGGCCAAGCGUUUCAAUAUUAUCUGUGGGAUCGCUAGGGGCCUUCUCUAUCUGCAUCAAGAUUCAAGAUUGAGGAUUAUACAUAGGGAUCUCAAAGCAAGUAACAUAUUACUUGAUAAUGAGAUGAACCCAAAAAUUUCGGAUUUUGGCUUGGCCAAAACUUUUGGAGGUGAACAAACCGAAGGAAACACAAAUAGGGUGGUUGGAACAUAUGGAUAUAUGGCACCUGAAUAUGCAAUGCGAGGUUAUUUAACCG